Molecule: non-coding RNA, 91 nt
Filed under: chicken gut metagenome
Description: SAM riboswitch (S box leader)
Rfam family: SAM riboswitch aptamer (S box leader)
About the family: The SAM riboswitch is found upstream of a number of genes which code for proteins involved in methionine or cysteine biosynthesis in Gram-positive bacteria. The SAM riboswitch acts at the level of transcription termination control. The predicted structure consists of a complex stem-loop region followed by a single stem loop terminator region.
Source: RNAcentral
CUUAUCAAGAGCGGCGGAGGGAACAGGCCCUGUGAAGCCCGGCAACCUGCAUCUGCAAGGUGCCAAAUCCUGCGGGAAACCGAAAGAUAAG